Ruditapes philippinarum (Manila clam) is the source of this 356-nucleotide long non-coding RNA. RefSeq lists it as uncharacterized. The record is from RefSeq and is a predicted model, not a curated record. NCBI's taxonomy places the organism in Eukaryota, Metazoa, Mollusca, Bivalvia, Venerida, Veneridae. The transcript has 4 exons.
UCAGCUGUUGCUGGACAGACAACUUGUUUGCAAAAACCUAAUCAUUGACGGAGACAUAAUCAGUUAUGCUGAAAAAGCAAAAGGCGACCUUGGUUUAUUUAUUGACAAAUAUUUAUUAAAUUCGUGGGACAGUUUUGAAGUCAAGGUUAUGAGCAUUGGUAGAGGCGGAGGUAUAGCUAUCGGUGUGGUACCGGAUAACUAUCCAAAUGAUCUUCUACCUGGAUUAGGAAAUGAUUCAUGUGGAUACCAUUCAAACGGCAUGGUGUUCAAAGGAAGUAAAUCCGGUGAAAAAUCUGGAAACAAGUGGAAAGUCUGCGAUCGAAUCAAAGUUGAAAUGUAAGUAUUAAGUAGUUUUU